UGAGGAAUAUUGCACAAUGGGCGCAAGCCUGAUGCAGCGACGCCGCGUGUGGGAUGAAGGGGCUACGCCUCGUAAACCACUGUAGCCCGGGACGAAAAACGCCUUAGAGGCGUUAGACGGUACCGGGAAAGUAAGGGUCGGCUAACUACGUGCCAGCAGCCGCGGUAAUACGUAGGACCCAAGCGUUGUCCGGAUUUACUGGGUGUAAAGGGUGCGCAGGCGGAUGGGUAAGUCAGGGGUGAAAGUCUGCAGCUUAACUGUUGAAUUUCCGUUGGUACGGCUCAUCCUGAGUGUGGGAGAGGUGUAUGGAAUGCCGGGUGGAGCAGUAAAGUGCGUAGAUAUCUGGAAGAACACGAGUGGCGUAGGCGGUCAACUGGCCCAGAACUGCCGCCCAUGCACGAAAGCGUGGGGAGCAA
Molecule: ribosomal RNA, 416 nt
Filed under: uncultured bacterium
Lineage: Bacteria
Description: bacterial SSU rRNA
Rfam family: Bacterial small subunit ribosomal RNA
Source: RNAcentral